RNAcentral lists this unclassified non-coding RNA (3672 nucleotides) under Agrilus planipennis (emerald ash borer). RNAcentral's name for it is "lutropin-choriogonadotropic hormone receptor-like, transcript variant X8". The record is from RNAcentral. Lineage: Eukaryota; Metazoa; Arthropoda; Insecta; Coleoptera; Buprestidae.
GCUCUUCAGUAAACUAUCGGCCGCGAAACGAAUAAGAAUAGGCGUCGUCGCGAAUACACCGCACGACCGCGUGUCGCCAGCAUGCGAUCACUUCUUGCCGUGACGAUGGUGUCCACGCUGUUGUUACAGGUUGAAACGUUUUAUGCUAAUAAUCAGCAGCAGAUGCUGCAGGACGUUGCGACCACUUCUUGUACUUUGCUAUCUGAGUUUUGCCGAUGCACGUCCGAUUUCCAGGAUUUCUCGUGCCAGGCUGCAGGAUUCACGGAGAUUCCAAACGAGAUACCAAGCACCGUUAUGAAAUUGGACCUUACGAGCAAUAACAUCACCCAUUUGUACGAAAACACUUUGGACGCUUUCGUGCAUCUCGAGGAACUAAUACUUACUGACAAUAAAUUGGAUUUAAUCCAUCCAAACGCUUUUAAGGCUACAGUGCAUCUGAAGAGACUGGUCUUACAAAGAUGUGGACUUCGGAAAAUUCCUUCAGAUGCAUUAAGUCCUCUUUCUAAACUUCACACCCUCCAACUAGGGCAGAACGAUAUAUCAGAAGUGGAAAGUGACAGUUUGAAACAUACCCCAGCCCUUAGAAGUCUACGACUUGACGGGAACAAGCUUCGAGCUGUUCCUGCGGAUGCAAUCCGUCGAUUACAUAAUCUCGAAAUGUUAAACCUGGCUAACAAUUUCAUCACGUCUAUUCCCAUGGGCGUUUUUCCAGAGAUGAAAAAUCUUAUAGUGCUACUAUUCAAAAGGAACCAAAUAGCUGAAAUUUCAGAUGGAGCGUUCGAUAAUAUGACAUCUUUAAAAGUCCUGGAAUUGGACGACAACCUCCUCACUGAAAUACCCUUAGCAAUAACCAAGUUACCAUCUUUACAAGAGUUGUCAAUAUCCGGCAACCGUAUCAAGCAUAUUCCAGGAGGUCUCCUGCAGAAGACGCCUAGUUUGACGCUCCUGGAACUCCAGGGGAACCCCCUAGCCGGCGUCGACAUUCAUUCUUUCGCCUUCCUUCCUCGUUUGCGCAAGCUAAUCUUAUCGGAAGCAAGACAUCUGUCAAUUUUUCCGAAUUUGAAUGGAACGGAAGCUCUUGAACUGCUGCGAUUCGAUCGCGCCGGUUUAUUAUCAGUGCCGACGUCAUUAUGCGAAACCUGUCCAAAAUUGAAAAGCUUAGAUUUCAAAUCGAAUCGACUUAGCGUCGUUCCAAACUUGUCCAACUGCAAGGAAAUAAGAGUUUUAGAUUUGGCAAGCAAUAAAAUCAAUUCGUUGCUUGGACGACCGUUCCAGGGAAUGUCUCAGAUGCACGAUCUCCUUCUUGCCCACAACGAAAUAGAAUUUAUUCCUCAGGACGCUUUUUACGGCCUUUCGAAGCUCCAAGUACUUGACUUGGAAAACAACAUGAUUUCAUAUAUUCAUCCGGAUGCCUUUCUACCUAUCUCUCACAUAGAAAACCUAAACCUGGGUAACAACAUUUUUCCCGAAUUACCAGCGGCUGGUUUAGAACGUCUCCUUCAUCUCAAGGUAUUUAAUAAUCCGAACUUGAAGGAGUUCCCUCCACCCGAAAGCUUUCCGCGAAUUCAGACUUUGGUUUUGGCCUACGCGUAUCACUGCUGUGCUUUCCUUCCCUUAAUACCCUCCAACCCGCCCCCACCUGCCAGAGUCGAAGAUAUAGUGCUUUUUCCCGACGAGGACGACGACAUAGAUCCCAACAUUUGGAAUUCGAGUGUCGUAGACUUGUGGCCUCAAUUACAAAAUAUAAGUCACAAACUGGGCAAAAAAUUUAAAGACAUUUGGGAUAGCUACGGUGGCGGGGAAUUUGCAUAUCCAGGAAAUUUUCCUAACUAUAUGGAAGAAUACGCGGAAGAAGAGACGAAACUCUCUGGAAGUGAACUACCUCCUGGAAAAAUUCAAUGUUUGCCAUCACCAGGUCCAUUCCUUCCUUGUCAAGACUUAUUCGAUUGGUGGACUCUCCGGUGUGGAGUGUGGCUGGUCUUCCUGUGUUCCAUGCUAGGAAAUGGAACGGUAGUUUUCGUGUUAAUUUUUUCCAGGAGUAAAAUGGACGUUCCACGGUUUCUAGUCUGCAAUUUGGCUGCUGCAGAUUUUUUCAUGGGAAUAUAUUUAGGGUUUUUGGCCGUUGUAGACGCAUCAACUCUGGGCGAGUUUAGAAUGUAUGCCAUCCCUUGGCAGAUGUCUGUUGGAUGCCGACUAGCUGGAUUUUUGGGGGUGCUAAGUUCCGAGUUAUCAGUAUACACUCUAGCAGUAAUUACCCUGGAACGAAAUUAUGCCAUCACGCAUGCCAUGCAUCUCAAUAAAAGAUUGUCUUUGAAACACGCAGGGUACAUAAUGGUUUGCGGAUGGGCGUUUGCAAUUGUUAUGGCUAUUCUUCCACUCUUCAGUAUUUCCGACUAUAGAAAGUUUGCAGUUUGUCUCCCGUUUGAAACAGGAUCCGUUGCCAGUUUGACUUACGUCGUUUUUCUCAUGUUUAUCAACGGCGUUGCGUUUCUUAUAUUGAUGGGGUGCUACUUAAAAAUGUACUGUGCUAUUCGAGGUUCUCAAGCUUGGAACUCCAACGACUCUCGCAUUGCUAAGAGAAUGGCUCUCUUGGUGUUCACCGAUUUCCUCUGCUGGUCGCCAAUAGCUUUUUUCUCUUUGACCGCUGCGUUUGGUUUACAACUAGUAACUUUAGAACAAGCCAAAGUAUUUACGGUGUUUGUACUGCCAUUAAAUUCAUGUUGCAAUCCGUUUCUUUAUGCGAUACUCACGAAACAAUUCAAAAAAGACUGCGUAAUGAUUUGCAAAGCAAUCGAAGAAAGUAGAGUGACCAGAGGCAUUGGUAGAUGCAGACAUAGUUCAAAUUUUAGUAACCGACAAACCCCUGCGAACACAAACAGCUUGGCAGACAGGUCAUCGCGAGAAAAUCAAAAUCAUCAUAAUCCACAGUGUACAUGCAACGUGAAGCUUUUGAAUAAUGAAGUCAAAAAUGGCAGUUCACGAACUAGUCGUAAGAAGAGUGCUUCGAAAGAUUGGUUGGUUAGCAAGGCCAGGUGGAUUUUAUGUGCAAAGAAACCUCCCAGACAUCGACCACGAUCGGAACAAUAUACCUACCAGAUUGCAGAGAUUCAACAGAAACAACACAAACGUGCAUCGUCAGUGUCAUCCAGUGAGAACUUCAGCUCUUCGCGAUCCGAUUCAUGGAAGCACAAUCAUCACUGUGGAAUUCCUCUAAGGUUUGUAGAAGUUGCUGGAUCCCAAACGAAGAGCGUCUACGUGGCUUGUAACUCGAAAAACCUCUCAGGACUCCAAUCUCUCUAGUUCGAGAAACGACUCUUCGGGGUCUGGCACCACGGCCAGUACCAGCACAUGGCGAAUAUCACGCUCAAGUGCUUCGAGUAAUGAACCCAACCGAUUAAGAUCAAAACCAAGACUGACUCGUCAAAGUGCGAUCCAGGACGAUUGUGAUUCCCCAGGAUCUCCUGGGCGUCUCACAGUCCGUUUCCUAACCACAAUUCCGUCUGCUGCAGAGAACAGCAUGCAGAUGGAAGAUGAGCCAAGUUUAUCCCCCACAAAAGAAAAAGAGGGACCGUUGUAUGCGAUACUGCAUUCGCAACCGGUCGUUACGCCUCUGAGAAGACAGUCGGUGGGCACUUUGCAUCCGCCUGAGUCCACCUCUGACCAAAACCCUUC